ACGCGUCUCUGGAGAGAGCCAUAGGCCACCGAAGGAGUUAAACUCUCAGGUAAAAGGACAGAGGAAG
Molecule: non-coding RNA, 67 nt
Filed under: Peribacillus simplex
Lineage: Bacteria; Bacillati; Bacillota; Bacilli; Caryophanales; Bacillaceae
Description: Glycine riboswitch
Rfam family: Glycine riboswitch aptamer (bases 7-63)
About the family: This family represents the bacterial glycine riboswitch. Glycine riboswitches usually consist of two metabolite-binding aptamers domains with similar structures in tandem.
Source: RNAcentral